GUCUUAAUUGGGCGUUAAGUUGCAGGGUAUAGACCCGAAACCCGGUGAUCUAGCCAUGGGCAGGUUGAAGGUUGGGUAACACUAACUGGAGGACCGAACCGACUAAUGUUGAAAAAUUAGCGGAUGACCUGUGGCUGGGGGUGAAAGGCCAAUCAAACCGGGAGAUAGCUGGUUCUCCCCGAAAGCUAUUUAGGUAGCGCCUCGUGAAUUCAUCUCCGGGGGUAGAGCACUGUUUCGGCUAGGGGGCCAUCCCGGCUUACCAACCCGAUGCAAACUGCGAAUACCGGAGAAUGUUAUCACGGGAGACACACGGCGGGUGCUAACGUCCGUCGUGAAGAGGGAAACAACCCAGACCGCCAGCUAAGGUCCCAAAGUCAUGGUUAAGUGGGAAACGAUGUGGGAAGGCCCAGACAGCCAGGAUGUUGGCUUAGAAGCAGCCAUCAUUUAAAGAAAGCGUAAUAGCUCACUGGUCGAGUCGGCCUGCGCGGAAGAUGUAACGGGGCUAAACCAUGCACCGAAGCUGCGGCAGCGAACGUAUCACUUAAAGCGAUUCAGCGGGUUACGAUUGACGGAGCGAAGCGACGUCAAAGCGUAUACAAAGUCGAGUCGGUUUAAGGAUACGUUCGUUGGGUAGGGGAGCGUUC
Molecule: ribosomal RNA, 644 nt
Filed under: Salmonella enterica subsp. enterica serovar Agona
Lineage: Bacteria; Pseudomonadati; Pseudomonadota; Gammaproteobacteria; Enterobacterales; Enterobacteriaceae
Description: partial 23S ribosomal RNA
Rfam family: Bacterial large subunit ribosomal RNA
Source: RNAcentral